RNAcentral lists this ribosomal RNA (253 nucleotides) under uncultured bacterium. Its description in RNAcentral is "partial 16S ribosomal RNA". It matches the Rfam family "Bacterial small subunit ribosomal RNA", at positions 524 to 776 of the family's 1533-position model. The record is from RNAcentral.
UACGUAGGCAGCAAGCGUUGUUCGGAAUUACUGGGCGUAAAGAGUGUGUAGGCGGUGCUCUAAGUUCGGUGUGAAAUCUCCUGGCUCAACUGGGAGGGUGCGCCGGAAACUGGGGUGCUGGAGCGCGGGAGAGGAAAGCGGAAUUCCUGGUGUAGCGGUGAAAUGCGUAGAUAUCAGGAGGAACACCUGUGGCGAAAGCGGCUCACUGGACCACAACUGACGCUGAUGCGCGAAAGCUAGGGGAGCAAACAGG